CCAGCCUAGUGAUUCUUCCAACCCCUAUAUGACACCCACUAGACCCAUGUAUUGCGUAGGUUAGGUAGCAAUACUUUUUUAAAGAACAUUUCCAUCUUUACCAAAAGAAAACAAAAGAACACUUCUAUCCAAUGAUACAUCCAUCUCUUUUAAUAUUGUGUUGUCGUUCUCAAGACCAAAUUUAUGUUGGAUCUUAAGCUGUUCUUGCUAUCAUUGAUUGCAAGCAUG
RNAcentral lists this long non-coding RNA (228 nucleotides) under Elaeis guineensis (African oil palm). RNAcentral's name for it is "long non-coding RNA (EGUI_LNC030377)". The record is from RNAcentral. Lineage: Eukaryota; Viridiplantae; Streptophyta; Magnoliopsida; Arecales; Arecaceae.